This 2256-nucleotide long non-coding RNA is filed under the name Drosophila guanche. Lineage: Eukaryota; Metazoa; Arthropoda; Insecta; Diptera; Drosophilidae. The record is from RNAcentral.
GGGUAGGGCGUCGACUGCGGUUGGUGACUGUGGCUCCGGCCUGGCCUGGCCUGGCCUGGCCAUCUGUUCAUAAAUUUCACGCUGCUUAAUUAAAAUGUUGAAUAUUUUAUGCAAUUUAUUGUGGCAGUGGCACGGGGGCAUUAAGCAUGGAGCAUGGAGCAUGGCAGUAGCGCCACAAGUAGCUGAAAACUAAUGCCCGAUAAACGUUUCGACCUUUUGACCAACACAACGACAUUUACACAUUUGCAUAAAGAGACAUUUAUUACCCAUUAAUCGUGCGAAAGAUGGCUUGGGACUGGACAGGAGAAAAGUUUUCUAAGAGGUAAAUAAAAAUAUCAAAAUAAAUUUUCAAGUAUUUGUUAUAUAAAAAAAGAAAGAUCUAAUUUAACAAGAUUGUAUUUGUAUCUAUACUUUAUCAACACGUUUGACAAAUCUGCGAAAUCACAGGUCAUCCCAUGGUUCAUACCCUGCCUUGUUUUUGUGCGCUUUUGUUGCGUGGAAGCACAUAUUCAAAAUGCAUUUUGAAUAUCUAAAACACACAUAAAUCUAUAUGUACGCAGCCAUCGAGAGAGCUACAGAUAUUUCCAUAUAUGUGUAUGCAUUUGAAUGAGAUACUCGUACGCACAGCUCGUAUCUUGUACUUAUGCAAAUGGAUCUCUCAUUCGCUCUAUGGAAGUAUCUGUCGACACCUCUUAAUGCUCCUCUCGCUCUCUCUCUCUGCAUCUGUAAUAUCUGUGAUAUUCUCUAAACACUUCCCCAAACAAUAUUCCUCUGUUCCUCUUCCCAUUUACAUUUCUUUGCACUUAAAUUUCCGCUUAAGCAUUCCUAAAUUGUUCAUUAACAUUUCUGCCGAUUUGUUGUUGCCCGUUUUUGUAAUGAAUAUUUGUUGUUGUCUGGCACUUUUGUUUUGUCGUGAGUUGUCGUGGGGGGGAAAGCGCUCUGUGUUGUUAUUGAUCAUUCUCCACAAAAACACCUCACAGUUUCUAUUUCUAUUGUUUAUUUCGCACAUUCAGCCGCUAAUUUAUUUUCAGCACGCGCUGAACGAUUAACCCAGAGAUCAAGAUCAAAACAGAUCAGAGGGUAACCUGAGAGAUCAAGCUUUUAAAUACCUGGGGGAAGAUGUUUGCUGUCUCUGGAAAUAUAAGAGUGAGAAAAUAAAAGGAUUACAGCCCUGAGUCCACGCGUAAUUCACACCAGAGAGAGAAUCGCAGUUAUCGACUUGGGUGUUAUAUGCCCCACUGAUCGAUCGAUUUUAGGGCAAAAGUCUAGACCUCGAAUGAUCAAUCUUCUGAGCAGAGUCGAGCCGAGUGGACGACAGCCCCAUGGGGGCUUUCAUCAAUCAAGCAGAAACCCAUUGAAAUCUGAAUCGGAAUCGGAAUACAAAAUGUCAGCACUCUGUCAGCAGGAUGACAGACAUCCCGCACUAAAAGCUAUAUAUCCGAGGUUCCUUAAUCUGUUUAAUUUGCAGAUGCAGUUCCACAGAUACAGUUGUAAAGAUACAGAUACGAGAGUGGAAAACGCGAAUAAACUGAAUGAAAUCUGACAGACAGGCAGUCCCUGAAUGAGCGAACGUCUCGCAUCGCGCUUCGCGGAAUAUAAUUUAUGAGUCAAUUUCAGACAAUUAUUGUUAAAUAUUAUUAAGCAUUCGUCGGCCUGUCAAAACACACACAGAGCGGGGCCCCCCUCUGGCCGUCCGCACCCGCAAGAGCGGAAUGAUUUACAAGGCGAGUGAGAGAAUAGCCCGAAAAGGAGGAGAAUUGAAGACAAUUGUCACUUGGAUGAGGAAUGAGGCUUGGGGAAUGGGAAGCUCUUGAGCGAUGACAAAUUUUAAGUGGAUAAUCUUCAGGCUCAAAUAAAAGAGCAGCAGAAAGGGCGAACGAGCGCAUUGCCAACGCAAAUUAAUGUCAAAAUUGAUUAGAGCUCUGGCAACUCUCCGGCAGAGGCAGACAGCAAGUGAUUGUUCCGUCAAAGACAUUCCAUUCCUUACAUUUACACCCAGCUGCUGCAAAGGCGCGUGUCUGCCAAUUAGAGCUCCAGAAAGGGGUAGGGGAAAGACCAAGAACAGAAGCGCAUCCAGAGGAUCAGAAGGUGCAGAGCAUCGCAUGAGAAGAGCAAAAAGUGUGAAGAAAAGCGGGAAAUAGCCGAAGCCACGAUAGAGACAAAUAAGUGGAUUAAACUAUGGUUUAAAAAUAUCAAAGAAAAAGCAUCAAAUUAAUGAAAAACUUACCACAAAUGCACUUUGGAUGGAUCUUCAAC